RNAcentral lists this ribosomal RNA (798 nucleotides) under Triticum aestivum (bread wheat). RNAcentral's name for it is "partial small subunit ribosomal RNA". The record is from RNAcentral. Lineage: Eukaryota; Viridiplantae; Streptophyta; Magnoliopsida; Poales; Poaceae.
AUGGAGGCUCUGCCGGAAGACCUCAUCCGGAGGGGCAUGACGGUCAGAAGGGACGAUGGCGAGCUGGAGCUGACCAUAGAGGACUACCCCUAUGCCAACGACGGCCUUCUUGUCUGGGACGCCAUCAAGCACUGGGCGUUGACUUACGUCGAGCACUACUACCCGUGCACUGCGGACAUCGUCGACGACGAGGAGCUUCAGGCUUGGUGGAUGGAGGUGCGCACCAAAGGCCACGCCGACAAGCAGGAUGAGCCAUGGUGGCCCGAGUUGGACGACCACGAGAACCUGGCGCAAGCUCUGGCCACCAUCAUGUGGGUCACCUCAGCGCACCACGCUGCCGUCAACUUCGGGCAGUACCCCAUGGCCGGGUAUAUCCCCAACCGCCCGACGCUCACCCGGAGGAACAUGCCGACCGAGAUGGGUGCCGAUGACAUGCGCGCAUUUGUGGAGGCGCCGGAGAAGGUGUUGUUGGACACGUUCCCCUCCCAGUACCAGGCUGCCAUAGUCCUUGCCAUCUUGGACCUCCUAUCGUCGCACUCGUCAGACGAGGAGUACAUGGGAACGCACGAAGAGCCGUCAUGGAAACAGGAUGGGGCGAUCAGGCAGGCAUUUGAGGAGUUCAAGGAGAGGACUAGGGAGAUCGUGGAGCAGGUGGACAAUUGGAACAGUGACCCUGACCGAAAAAACCGGCACGGCGCUGGCAUGGUGCCGUAUGUGCUGCUCAGGCCGUCGGACGGUGAUCCUACGGACGAGAAGAUGGUGAUGGAGAUGGGAAUCCCCAACAGCAUCUCCAUUUGA